UACGUAGGGGGCAAGCGUUGUCCGGAUUUAUUGGGCGUAAAGAGCGUGUAGGCGGCCUGAAAGGUCAGCUGUGAAAACUCGAGGCUUAGCCUCGAGACGUCGGUUGAAACCAUCUGGCUAGAGUCCGGAAGAGGAGUGUGGAAUUCCCGGUGUAGCGGUGAAAUGCGCAGAUAUCGGGAAGAACACCCGUGGCGAAGGCGGCACUCUGGACCACAACUGACGCUGAGGCGCGAAAGCCAGGGGAGCAAACGGG
RNAcentral lists this ribosomal RNA (253 nucleotides) under uncultured bacterium. RNAcentral describes it as "partial 16S ribosomal RNA". It matches the Rfam family "Bacterial small subunit ribosomal RNA", at positions 524 to 776 of the family's 1533-position model. The record is from RNAcentral.